GAAGGAGAAGUCGUAACAAGGUUUCCGUAGGUGAACCUGCGGAAGGAUC
Molecule: ribosomal RNA, 49 nt
Filed under: Acer rufinerve
Lineage: Eukaryota; Viridiplantae; Streptophyta; Magnoliopsida; Sapindales; Sapindaceae
Description: partial 18S ribosomal RNA
Rfam family: Eukaryotic small subunit ribosomal RNA
Source: RNAcentral